GAUGAACGCUGGCGGCGUGCCUAAUACAUGCAAGUCGAGCGAACGGACGAGAAGCUUGCUUCUCUUAUGUUAGCGGCGGACGGGUGAGUAACACGUGGAUAACCUACCUAUAAGACUGGGAUAACUUCGGGAAACCGGAGCUAAUACCGGAUAAUAUUUUGAACCGCAUGGUUCAAAAGUGAAAGACGGUCUUGCUGUCACUUAUAGAUGGAUCCGCGCUGCAUUAGCUAGUUGGUAAGGUAACGGCUUACCAAGGCAACGAUGCAUAGCCGACCUGAGAGGGUGAUCAGCCACACUGGAACUGAGACACGGUCCAGACUCCUACGGGAGGCAGCAGUAGGGAAUCUUCCGCAAUGGGCGAAAGCCUGACGGAGCAACGCCGCGUGAGUGAUGAAGGUCUUCGGAUCGUAAAACUCUGUUAUUAGGGAAGAACAUAUGUGUAAGUAACUGUGCACAUCUUGACGGUACCUAAUCAGAAAGCCACGGCUAACUACGUG
RNAcentral lists this ribosomal RNA (497 nucleotides) under uncultured bacterium. RNAcentral describes it as "partial 16S ribosomal RNA". It matches the Rfam family "Bacterial small subunit ribosomal RNA", at positions 28 to 507 of the family's 1533-position model. The record is from RNAcentral.